RNAcentral lists this ribosomal RNA (2902 nucleotides) under Klebsiella pneumoniae. RNAcentral's name for it is "bacterial LSU rRNA". It matches the Rfam family "Bacterial large subunit ribosomal RNA". The record is from RNAcentral. Lineage: Bacteria; Pseudomonadati; Pseudomonadota; Gammaproteobacteria; Enterobacterales; Enterobacteriaceae.
UUAAGCGACUAAGCGUACACGGUGGAUGCCCUGGCAGUCAGAGGCGAUGAAGGACGUGCUAAUCUGCGAAAAGCGUCGGUAAGGUGAUAUGAACCGUUAUAACCGGCGAUGUCCGAAUGGGGAAACCCAGUGUGAUUCGUCACACUAUCGUUAACUGAAUACAUAGGUUAACGAGGCGAACCGGGGGAACUGAAACAUCUAAGUACCCCGAGGAAAAGAAAUCAACCGAGAUUCCCCCAGUAGCGGCGAGCGAACGGGGAGCAGCCCAGAGUCUGAAUCAGCUUGUGUGUUAGUGGAACGGUCUGGAAAGUCCGACGGUACAGGGUGAUAGUCCCGUACACCAAAAUGCACAGGUUGUGAACUCGAAGAGUAGGGCGGGACACGUGGUAUCCUGUCUGAAUAUGGGGGGACCAUCCUCCAAGGCUAAAUACUCCUGACUGACCGAUAGUGAACCAGUACCGUGAGGGAAAGGCGAAAAGAACCCCGGCGAGGGGAGUGAAAAAGAACCUGAAACCGUGUACGUACAAGCAGUGGGAGCACCUUCGGGGUGUGACUGCGUACCUUUUGUAUAAUGGGUCAGCGACUUAUAUUCUGUAGCAAGGUUAACCGUAUAGGGGAGCCGCAGGGAAACCGAGUCUUAACUGGGCGUUAAGUUGCAGGGUAUAGACCCGAAACCCGGUGAUCUAGCCAUGGGCAGGUUGAAGGUUGGGUAACACUAACUGGAGGACCGAACCGACUAAUGUUGAAAAAUUAGCGGAUGACUUGUGGCUGGGGGUGAAAGGCCAAUUCAAACCGGGAGAUAGCUGGUUCUCCCCGAAAGCUAUUUAGGUAGCGCCUCGUGAAUUCAUCUUCGGGGGUAGAGCACUGUUUCGGCUAGGGGGUCAUCCCGACUUACCAACCCGAUGCAAACUACGAAUACCGAAGAAUGUUAUCACGGGAGACACACGGCGGGUGCUAACGUCCGUCGUGAAGAGGGAAACAACCCAGACCGCCAGCUAAGGUCCCAAAGUCAUGGUUAAGUGGGAAACGAUGUGGGAAGGCACAGACAGCCAGGAUGUUGGCUUAGAAGCAGCCAUCAUUUAAAGAAGCGUAAUAGCUCACUGGUCGAGUCGGCCUGCGCGGAAGAUGUAACGGGGCUAAACCAUGCACCGAAGCUGCGGCAGCGACACUAUGUGUUGUUGGGUAGGGGAGCGUUCUGUAAGCCUGCGAAGGUGUGCUGUGAGGCAUGCUGGAGGUAUCAGAAGUGCGAAUGCUGACAUAAGUAACGAUAAAGCGGGUGAAAAGCCCGCUCGCCGGAAGACCAAGGGUUCCUGUCCAACGUUAAUCGGGGCAGGGUGAGUCGACCCCUAAGGCGAGGCCGAAAGGCGUAGUCGAUGGGAAACAGGUUAAUAUUCCUGUACUUGGUGUUACUGCGAAGGGGGGACGGAGAAGGCUAUGUUAGCCGGGCGACGGUUGUCCCGGUUUAAGCAUGUAGGCUGGUUAUCCAGGCAAAUCCGGAUAAUCAAGGCUGAGGUGUGAUGACGAGGCACUACGGUGCUGAAGUAACAAAUGCCCUGCUUCCAGGAAAAGCCUCUAAGCAUCAGGUAACAUCAAAUCGUACCCCAAACCGACACAGGUGGUCAGGUAGAGAAUACCAAGGCGCUUGAGAGAACUCGGGUGAAGGAACUAGGCAAAAUGGUGCCGUAACUUCGGGAGAAGGCACGCUGGUGUGUAGGUGAAGUCCCUGCGGAUGGAGCUGAGACCAGUCCGAAGAUACCAGCUGGCUGCAACUGUUUAUUAAAAACACAGCACUGUGCAAACACGAAAGUGGACGUAUACGGUGUGACGCCUGCCCGGUGCCGGAAGGUUAAUUGAUGGGGUUAUCCGUAAGGAGAAGCUCUUGAUCGAAGCCCCGGUAAACGGCGGCCGUAACUAUAACGGUCCUAAGGUAGCGAAAUUCCUUGUCGGGUAAGUUCCGACCUGCACGAAUGGCGUAAUGAUGGCCAGGCUGUCUCCACCCGAGACUCAGUGAAAUUGAACUCGCUGUGAAGAUGCAGUGUACCCGCGGCAAGACGGAAAGACCCCGUGAACCUUUACUAUAGCUUGACACUGAACAUUGAGCCUUGAUGUGUAGGAUAGGUGGGAGGCUUUGAAGCGUGGACGCCAGUCUGCGUGGAGCCAACCUUGAAAUACCACCCUUUAAUGUUUGAUGUUCUAACGUUGGCCCCUUACCGGGGUUGCGGACAGUGUCUGGUGGGUAGUUUGACUGGGGCGGUCUCCUCCCAAAGCGUAACGGAGGAGCACGAAGGUUAGCUAAUCCUGGUCGGACAUCAGGAGGUUAGUGCAAUGGCAUAAGCUAGCUUGACUGCGAGCGUGACGGCGCGAGCAGGUGCGAAAGCAGGUCAUAGUGAUCCGGUGGUUCUGAAUGGAAGGGCCAUCGCUCAACGGAUAAAAGGUACUCCGGGGAUAACAGGCUGAUACCGCCCAAGAGUUCAUAUCGACGGCGGUGUUUGGCACCUCGAUGUCGGCUCAUCACAUCCUGGGGCUGAAGUAGGUCCCAAGGGUAUGGCUGUUCGCCAUUUAAAGUGGUACGCGAGCUGGGUUUAGAACGUCGUGAGACAGUUCGGUCCCUAUCUGCCGUGGGCGCUGGAGAAUUGAGGGGGGCUGCUCCUAGUACGAGAGGACCGGAGUGGACGCAUCACUGGUGUUCGGGUUGUCAUGCCAAUGGCACUGCCCGGUAGCUAAAUGCGGAAGAGAUAAGUGCUGAAAGCAUCUAAGCACGAAACUUGCCCCGAGAUGAGUUCUCCCUGAGACUUUAAGUCUCCUGAAGGAACGUUAAAGACGAUGACGUUGAUAGGCCGGGUGUGUAAGCGCAGCGAUGCGUUGAGCUAACCGGUACUAAUGAACCGUGAGGCUUAACCUU